GGACGAACGCUGGCGGCGUGCUUAACACAUGCAAGUCGAACGCUGAAGGCCCAGCUUGCUGGGUUGGAUGAGUGGCGAACGGGUGAGUAACACGUGAGUAACCUGCCCCCUUCUUUGGGAUAACGGUCGGAAACGGCUGCUAAUACCGGGUAUUCACUGUCCUUCGCAUGGGGGGUGGUGGAAAGGUUUUUUCUGGUGGGGGAUGGGCUCGCGGCCUAUCAGCUUGUUGGUGGGGUGAUGGCUUACCAAGGCUUUGACGGGUAACCGGCCUGAGAGGGUGACCGGUCACAUUGGGACUGAGAUACGGCCCAGACUCCUACGGGAGGCAGCAGUGGGGAAUAUUGCACAAUGGGCGAAAGCCUGAUGCAGCGACGCCGCGUGAGGGAUGACGGCCUUCGGGUUGUAAACCUCUUUCGCUCAUGGUCAAGCCGCAACAGUGGUUGUGGUGAGGGUAGUGGGUAAAGAAGCACCGGCUAACUACGU
This 483-nucleotide ribosomal RNA is filed under the name Actinomycetaceae bacterium 'ARUP UnID 78'. RNAcentral describes it as "bacterial SSU rRNA". It matches the Rfam family "Bacterial small subunit ribosomal RNA", at positions 27 to 506 of the family's 1533-position model. The record is from RNAcentral. Lineage: Bacteria; Bacillati; Actinomycetota; Actinomycetes; Actinomycetales; Actinomycetaceae.